RNAcentral lists this ribosomal RNA (253 nucleotides) under uncultured bacterium. Its description in RNAcentral is "partial 16S ribosomal RNA". It matches the Rfam family "Bacterial small subunit ribosomal RNA", at positions 524 to 776 of the family's 1533-position model. The record is from RNAcentral.
UACAGAGGUCCCGAGCGUUGUUCGGAUUCACUGGGCGUAAAGGGCGCGCAGGCGGUCACGCACGUCCGUUGUGAAAUCGCUCGGCUCAACUGGGCGGGGUCAGCGGAUACGGCGCGACUGGAGCAAGCUAGGGGGCAAUGGAAUUCCCGGUGUAGUGGUGGAAUGCGUAGAUAUCGGGAGGAACACCAGUGGCGAAGGCGGUUGCCUGGAGCUUUGCUGACGCUGAGGCGCGAAAGCGUGGGGAGCGAACAGG